UACGUAGGUGGCAAGCGUUGUCCGGAUUUACUGGGCGUAAAGCGCGCGCAGGCGGAUGGUUAAGUAGGAAGUGAAAGGUUGGAGCUCAACUCCAACAUUGCUUCCUAUACUGGCUAUCUUGAGUCCCGGAGGGGAGAGCGGAACAAGUUGUGUAGCGGUGAAAUGCGUUGAUAUAACUUGGAACACCAAUGGCGAAGGCAGCUCUCUGGACGGGAACUGACGCUCAGGCGCGAAAGCCGAGGUAGCGAACAGG
This 253-nucleotide ribosomal RNA is filed under the name uncultured bacterium. Its description in RNAcentral is "partial 16S ribosomal RNA". It matches the Rfam family "Bacterial small subunit ribosomal RNA", at positions 524 to 776 of the family's 1533-position model. The record is from RNAcentral.